Molecule: non-coding RNA, 29 nt
Filed under: Gallus gallus (chicken)
Lineage: Eukaryota; Metazoa; Chordata; Aves; Galliformes; Phasianidae
Also listed under: 2 other names
Source: RNAcentral
GCUAGCGUGGCAGAGCUCGGUAAAUGCAA